CAUAAGAAAGCGUACAUUCCUCAGAACAGGUAUUAUUGUAGUGGAUUUGUGACUCUCCAGACAAUAUCUUCUCUACAACCUGGUUCGAGAUUAAAGCUUUCAGUU
Molecule: small nucleolar RNA, 105 nt
Filed under: Kluyveromyces lactis
Lineage: Eukaryota; Fungi; Ascomycota; Saccharomycetes; Saccharomycetales; Saccharomycetaceae
Source: RNAcentral